Molecule: long non-coding RNA, 367 nt
Organism: Ornithorhynchus anatinus (platypus)
Lineage: Eukaryota; Metazoa; Chordata; Mammalia; Monotremata; Ornithorhynchidae
Exons: 3
Source: RefSeq, a predicted model, not a curated record
GCAGUCCCAUAUUUUUACCGAGAAAACUGUAUGGACACACUACCAAAAUGAUUGCAGAUCGAAGUGGGGCGUCCUGGAAGAGAUGUCAGUACGGGUUGGAAAUGACUCAGAAGCCUGAGACAAGACAAAUCAUAUCGUGAGAAUGAGGUAACCGAGACCCAAAGAAGUGACCUGCCCAGAAGACAGCUAGUGGAAUCAGGACUAGAACCCAAGUCCUCUGUGUCUCUCCUUCCACCUUGUCAAACUGCAGCUUUCCAAGGAAAGUCACCAUGACUCUGGGAGUUUGGUGAAGGCUUGAACUGACUUCUAUCAACUCUGUUUAUGCUCUCCCAAGUGCUUAGUACAGUGCUCUGCACACAGUAAGUAC